GAUGAACGCUGGCGGCGUGCCUAAUACAUGCAAGUCGAGCGAACAGACGAGGAGCUUGCUCCUCUGACGUUAGCGGCGGACGGGUGAGUAACACGUGGAUAACCUACCUAUAAGACUGGGAUAACUUCGGGAAACCGGAGCUAAUACCGGAUAAUAUAUUGAACCGCAUGGUUCAAUAGUGAAAGACGGUUUUGCUGUCACUUAUAGAUGGAUCCGCGCCGCAUUAGCUAGUUGGUAAGGUAACGGCUUACCAAGGCGACGAUGCGUAGCCGACCUGAGAGGGUGAUCGGCCGCACUGGAGCUGGGACACGGUCCAGACUCCUACGGGAGGCAGCAGUAGGGAAUCUUCCGCAAUGGGCGAAAGCCUGACGGAGCAACGCCGCGAGAGUGAUGAAGGUCUUCGGAUCGUAAAACUCUGUUAUUAGGGAAGAACAAAUGUGUAAGUAACUAUGCACGUCUUGACGGUACCUAAUCAGAAAGCCACGGCUAACUACGUG
RNAcentral lists this ribosomal RNA (497 nucleotides) under uncultured bacterium. Its description in RNAcentral is "partial 16S ribosomal RNA". It matches the Rfam family "Bacterial small subunit ribosomal RNA", at positions 28 to 507 of the family's 1533-position model. The record is from RNAcentral.